RNAcentral lists this ribosomal RNA (225 nucleotides) under uncultured bacterium. RNAcentral describes it as "partial 16S ribosomal RNA". It matches the Rfam family "Bacterial small subunit ribosomal RNA", at positions 116 to 334 of the family's 1533-position model. The record is from RNAcentral.
CGUGGGUAACCUACCCAUCAGAGGGGGAUAACACUUGGAAACAGGUGCUAAUACCGCAUAACAGUUUAUGCCGCAUGGCAUAAGAGUGAAAGGCGCUUUCGGGUGUCGCUGAUGGAUGGACCCGCGGUGCAUUAGCUAGUUGGUGAGGUAACGGCUCACCAAGGCCACGAUGCAUAGCCGACCUGAGAGGGUGAUCGGCCACAUUGGGACUGAGACACGGCCCAA